AUACGGAGGAUCCGAGCGUUAUCCGGAUUUAUUGGGUUUAAAGGGUGCGUAGGUGGUUCGAUAAGUCAGCGGUGAAAGUUUGCAGCUUAACUGUAAAAAUGCCGUGGAAACUGUCGGACUUGAGUGUAAAUGAGGUAGGCGGAAUGCGUGGUGUAGCGGUGAAAUGCAUAGAUAUCACGCAGAACUCCGAUUGCGAAGGCAGCGUACUAAGCUACAACUGACACUGAAGCACGAAAGCGUGGGGAUCAAACAGGAUUAGAUACCCUGGUAGUCCACGCAGUAAACGAUGAUUACUAGCUGUUUGCGAUACACAGUAAGCGGCACAGCGAAAGCGUUAAGUAAUCCACCUGGGGAGUACGCCGGCAACGGUGAAACUCAAAUGAAUUGACGGGG
This 393-nucleotide ribosomal RNA is filed under the name uncultured bacterium. RNAcentral's name for it is "partial 16S ribosomal RNA". It matches the Rfam family "Bacterial small subunit ribosomal RNA", at positions 523 to 918 of the family's 1533-position model. The record is from RNAcentral.